ACAGCUACGGGUGCCCAUAUAGAAGCCUCCCUCCUGGCGCCUGCCCUCCGCCUAGGACUUGCCCUCCCCUUCCUACAGUCUCACCCCAACCUUCCCCAAGGGGCUCCUUACCUGAUGCUCCUCGAGCUCCUGCACUAGCACCUGAGCAAAAGGGAAACACGGAUAUGAAGAGCAGCUCAAAUCACCAACCCAUUCCUCCUUUUCCACUUAGAACCCAGCCACUGACGGAACCAUUCCCCACGACUCCCGGAUCAUCUUCUCCCUCUCACCUGAGCGGAUUUGUUGCAGGGUCCGGACUGCAAGAACCUAGCGAUCAGCUCUUCCAGAGGACUGAGGGUUGCCUAGCUACGGCUCUAGAAAGGAGAAGGAGGUGCUAACUGACAACCGACGCUCUGGCAACCGCCGUAGAACUCUGUGGUGGCGUUGGCGUCCGCGAGCUCUGGACUCGCUUGCCAUUCCUGUGAGGGCAGUUGGGCCCUUUCCGGCAGAGAAUUCUUCCUGCUUGGGUGGUGAAGAACUUGUGGGGGGCUGCCUAGACUCAGUUGCCUUCAUGGGGCACCUAAGCGGUUUUGUUUUUUUCCCUCCCCCACCAACAGGAGGCUAGCCCAUAAUGGGCAUUAUGAUUAAGAGAAGAAAACAUGAUUUUUGUACCAAUUGAAAAUGCUGUACUUACGGGUCCCGAGUGUGGUGCUAAAAUUGUUACAAGACUACUUAAAAUGUCCCCCGAUUCUGAAAAAGAUUGCUUGAGAAAUUUUCUGUCAGCCAUGAAGCAUUUACUCCUUCUGAAAGUUUAACAUAAGCUAUAUCUGUCCCAUUCCUAUUGGAUAGUUUUUAUCGUGUUUUCAAACAUCCGACUACUUAAGGAUUUUUUUUUUUUUUAAGUAUGGCCUGGUUAUGGAAAUCUGUAUAUGCAAGGUAGUUUUCCACAGAUUUGGGACUGCAUUUGUUACUUAAUAUGUAACCCCCACUCUUAGUACACACUGUCUUUUGAUCAAAGUGUUUGUGUAAUAAUUGACACAGACAGUAAACUAGGUCUCUCUGUUCCUAUUUCACUUACAUCCUGUUCUCACCCCACCUUUAACUAAUAUAAUUAAUAAAAGCUGAACCCGAUGAGGCUAGAAAUGUUGUUGGAGUUGUGAUAUUAUGUUGAAAUAUCCAAAUUUGAAAUUUCACCUAAAUUUAGGGUGUUAUUAGGAAUUUGAUUUCCUCACUUAUAAUUCAGGCAUUGACCACAGCGGGUCUAGAAUUCCAUUAAAUUGACAUGAACUUUAUCCAAAUUGACUAGCUUGCUCCUGUAAGUGCCCUAUCUCUCCUUCCCUCCCUCUCCCCCUCCCUCUCCCCAGCUCCCUCCCUCUACCCCCC
Marmota monax (woodchuck) is the source of this 1362-nucleotide long non-coding RNA. RefSeq lists it as uncharacterized. NCBI's taxonomy places the organism in Eukaryota, Metazoa, Chordata, Mammalia, Rodentia, Sciuridae. The transcript has 3 exons. The record is from RefSeq and is a predicted model, not a curated record.